Molecule: ribosomal RNA, 298 nt
Filed under: uncultured eukaryote
Lineage: Eukaryota
Description: partial 18S ribosomal RNA
Rfam family: Eukaryotic small subunit ribosomal RNA
Source: RNAcentral
CCCUUAGACACUCUAGGCGGCACGCGCGUUACAAUGGGUGGAAGAACGUGUUACUGCCUCCGAAAGGAGGGGUGAAUCACGAAUUCUUGCCCGUGAAUGGGAUAGUUUGUUGCAAUUUUCGGACUUGAACUAGGAAUCCCUUGUAAACAUGCUCAAGAAUAGCGUGUUGAAUACGUCCCUGCCGUUUGUACACACCGCCCGUCGUUUCUUCCGACUGAUACUCAUUGUGAGUUGCAAGGACCCUUUAUUGGGAAAUUGCUGCAAAUGCUUUGUAUUGGAGGAAGAAAAAGUCGUAACA